RNAcentral lists this long non-coding RNA (260 nucleotides) under Mus musculus (house mouse). RNAcentral's name for it is "Mg10710". The record is from RNAcentral. Lineage: Eukaryota; Metazoa; Chordata; Mammalia; Rodentia; Muridae.
UGUUUUAUGGAAUGUGUGCAAGCAAAAGCCAUGUGUGUUCUUGAAAUGCAAAUUAAAACAACCCUGAGAUUGCACCUCACACCAAUCAGAAUGGCUAAGAUUAAAACUCUGGUGACAGCAGAUGCUGGAGAGGAUGUGGAGAAAGAGGGACACUCCUCCACUGCUGGUGAGAUUGUAAACUGGUACAACCACUCUAGAAAUCACUUUGGUGGUUCCUUAGAAAAUUGGACAUAGUAUUACCUGAGGACCCAGCUAUACCA